GGGAUGCUAAUACCGCAUACGUCCUACGGGAGAAAGCAGGGGACCUUCGGGCCUUGCGCUAAUAGAUGAGCCUAAGUCGGAUUAGCUAGUUGGUGGGGUAAAGGCCUACCAAGGCGACGAUCUGUAGCGGGUCUGAGAGGAUGAUCCGCCACACUGGGACUGAGACACGGCCCAGACUCCUACGGGAGGCAGCAGUGGGGAAUAUUGGACAAUGGGGGGAACCCUGAUCCAGCCAUGCCGCGUGUGUGAAGAAGGCCUUUUGGUUGUAAAGCACUUUAAGCGAGGAGGAGGCUACCGAGAUUAAUACUCUUGGUAGUGGACGUUACUCGCAGAAUAAGCACCGGCUAACUCUGUGCCAGCAGCCGCGGUAAUACAGAGGGUG
Molecule: ribosomal RNA, 382 nt
Filed under: Acinetobacter sp.
Lineage: Bacteria; Pseudomonadati; Pseudomonadota; Gammaproteobacteria; Moraxellales; Moraxellaceae
Description: bacterial SSU rRNA
Rfam family: Bacterial small subunit ribosomal RNA
Source: RNAcentral